GUCCCAAUGGUCUAGUGGUAGGAUUCGCCCUUCGGGUGGGCGAGGUCCCCGGUUCGAACCCGGGUUGGGCCC
RNAcentral lists this transfer RNA (72 nucleotides) under Colletotrichum orbiculare MAFF 240422. RNAcentral's name for it is "tRNA-Pro (CGG) (tRNA-Pro-CGG-2-1)". It matches the Rfam family "tRNA". From Rfam's summary of the family: Transfer RNA (tRNA) molecules are approximately 80 nucleotides in length. Lineage: Eukaryota; Fungi; Ascomycota; Sordariomycetes; Glomerellales; Glomerellaceae. The record is from RNAcentral.